This 625-nucleotide ribosomal RNA is filed under the name Hepatozoon canis. Its description in RNAcentral is "bacterial SSU rRNA". It matches the Rfam family "Eukaryotic small subunit ribosomal RNA", at positions 189 to 812 of the family's 1831-position model. Lineage: Eukaryota; Apicomplexa; Hepatozoidae. The record is from RNAcentral.
UUUAUUAGAAGAGACGCAUUUAUUAGAUAAAAAGCCAGUUCAUGCUUUUAYAGUAUGAAAAUUGGUGAUUUAUAAUAACUUAGCAAAUCGCAAAGUGAAAACAGGCGAUAAAUCAUUCAAGUUUCUGACCUAUCAGCUUUCGACGGUAUGGUAUUGGCUUACCGUGGCAGUGACGGUUAACGGGGGAUUAGGGUUCGAUUCCGGAGAGGGAGCCUGAGAAACGGCUACCACAUCUAAGGAAGGCAGCAGGCGCGCAAAUUACCCAAUUCUAACAGUUUGAGAGAGGUAGUAACAAGAAAUAACAAUACAAGGCAGUUAAAAUGCUUUGUAAUUGGAAUGAUAGAAAUUUAAACCCUUUUUAAAGUAUCAAUUGGAGGGCAAGUCUGGUGCCAGCAGCCGCGGUAAUUCCAGCUCCAAUAGCGUAUAUUAAAAUUGUUGCAGUUAAAAAGCUCGUAGUUGAAGUUCUGCUGAAAGUAACCGGUCUGCUUUUAAUAAAAGUGGUAUCUUGGUYUGUAUUUAGCAAUGAUGUCCUUUGAAGUGUUUUUUACUUUAUUGUAAUAAAGCAUAUUCAGGACUUUUACUUUGAGAAAAUUAGAGUGUUUCUAGCAGGCUAACGCUUUGAAUA